RNAcentral lists this ribosomal RNA (461 nucleotides) under uncultured bacterium. Its description in RNAcentral is "partial 16S ribosomal RNA". It matches the Rfam family "Bacterial small subunit ribosomal RNA", at positions 29 to 507 of the family's 1533-position model. The record is from RNAcentral.
AUGCACGCUGACAGAAUGCUUAACACAUGCAAGUCAUUGGCGAAGCUGCGCUUGCGCAGUCUAGCCAAGGCGGACGGGUGAGUAACGCGUAAGGAACUUGCCCUGCAGACAGGGAUAACAGACGGAAACGACUGAUAACACCUGGUAUUGUCAGGCUGGCGCAUGCCGGCCUGAUGAAAGGAGACGCUGCAGGAGAGCCUUGCGUCCUAUUAGCUAGUUGGUGGGGUAACGGCCCACCAAGGCGAUGAUAGGUAGCCGGCCUGAGAGGGUGAACGGCCACAAGGGGACUGAGAUACGGCCCUUACUCCUACGGGAGGCAGCAGUGGGGAAUAUUGGACAAUGGGGGCAACCCUGAUCCAGCAAUUCUGUGUGCACGAAGAAGGUUUUCGGAUUGUAAAGUGCUUUCAGCAGGGAAGAAGAAAGUGACGGUACCUGCAGAAGAAGCGACGGCUAAAUACGUG